Molecule: ribosomal RNA, 468 nt
Filed under: uncultured bacterium
Lineage: Bacteria
Description: partial 16S ribosomal RNA
Rfam family: Bacterial small subunit ribosomal RNA
Source: RNAcentral
GACGAACGCUGGCGGCGUGCUUAACACAUGCAAGUCGAACGGAAAGGCCCUGCUUUUGUGGGGUGCUCGAGUGGCGAACGGGUGGGUAACACGUGAGUAACCUGCCCUUGACUUUGGGAUAACUUCAGGAAACUGGGGCUAAUACCGGAUAGGAGCUCCUGCUGCAUGGUGGGGGUUGGAAAGUUUCGGCGGUUGGGGAUGGACUCGCGGCUUAUCAGCUUGUUGGUGGGGUAGUGGCUUACCAAGGCUUUGACGGGUAGCCGGCCUGAGAGGGUGACCGGCCACAUUGGGACUGAGAUACGGCCCAGACUCCUACGGGAGGCAGCAGUGGGGAAUAUUGCACAAUGGGCGGAAGCCUGAUGCAGCAACGCCGCGUGCGGGAUGACGGCCUUCGGGUCGUAAACCGCUUUCGCCUGUGACGAAGCGUGAGUGACGGUAAUGGGUAAAGAAGCACCGGCUAACUACGUG